AGUGGUAGGCUGAUUGAGUUUAAUGUCAUUGUUAGGCUUUUGGCGUUGUUCUACGGCUUGAGUUUGCCCGAUCUCGGACAUAUUUAUUGAGAUGAUCUCGAUGAAUUAGAAUUUUAAUUUCAUCUUUAGGUUGCCGACAUUCUUCAGUAUCAUGGCUAUGGUCUUUAUGAUAACAAUAGUACUUUCUUUUAUCUAUUUUCAUCAGUGGAGCUUUCAUAGGGUUGGGCCGAUGAAGAUACCUC
RNAcentral lists this long non-coding RNA (242 nucleotides) under Elaeis guineensis (African oil palm). RNAcentral describes it as "long non-coding RNA (EGUI_LNC037438)". Lineage: Eukaryota; Viridiplantae; Streptophyta; Magnoliopsida; Arecales; Arecaceae. The record is from RNAcentral.